AUUGAACGCUGGCGGCAGGCCUAACACAUGCAAGUCGAGCGGAUGAAGGGAGCUUGCUCCUGAAUUCAGCGGCGGACGGGUGAGUAAUGCCUAGGAAUCUGCCUGGUAGUGGGGGAUAACGUCCGGAAACGGGCGCUAAUACCGCAUACGUCCUGAGGGAGAAAGUGGGGGAUCUUCGGACCUCACGCUAUCAGAUGAGCCUAGGUCGGAUUAGCUAGUUGGUGGGGUAAAGGCCUACCAAGGCGACGAUCCGUAACUGGUCUGAGAGGAUGAUCAGUCACACUGGAACUGAGACACGGUCCAGACUCCUACGGGAGGCAGCAGUGGGGAAUAUUGGACAAUGGGCGAAAGCCUGAUCCAGCCAUGCCGCGUGUGUGAAGAAGGUCUUCGGAUUGUAAAGCACUUUAAGUUGGGAGGAAGGGCAGUAAGUUAAUACCUUGCUGUUUUGACGUUACCAACAGAAUAGGCACCGGCUAACUUCGUG
This 484-nucleotide ribosomal RNA is filed under the name uncultured bacterium. RNAcentral's name for it is "partial 16S ribosomal RNA". It matches the Rfam family "Bacterial small subunit ribosomal RNA", at positions 30 to 507 of the family's 1533-position model. The record is from RNAcentral.